RNAcentral lists this ribozyme (111 nucleotides) under Ambivirus sp. RNAcentral describes it as "hairpin ribozyme". It matches the Rfam family "Hairpin ribozyme 1 from viruses-like metatranscriptomes". RNAcentral also lists the same sequence under 1 other name. The record is from RNAcentral.
UCUUUGUCCUCGCAUCCGUGUGCGUAUAGCGCAAUCCCAAGCGGGUAGGAGCGAGAGAAGAGAUGGGAGGGAAACAUGCUGGAGUAGCGACCCAGUAGCACAUUAACUCCC